AGACUGGUGAAACAGUUGCCAUAAAGAAGGUUCUUCAAGACAAGAGAUAUAAGAACAGGGAGUUGCAGACCAUGCGUCUUCUUGACCACCCUAAUGUUGUCUCUCUGAAACACUGCUUCUUUUCGACAACUGAGAAGGAUGAACUAUAUCUUAACUUGGUACUUGAGUAUGUACCUGAAACUGUUCACCGUGUUAUCAAACACUACAAUAAGCUGAACCAAAGGAUGCCAUUGAUACUUGUGAAGCUUUACAAGGAUGAACUAUAUCUUAACUUGGUGCUUGAGUAUGUACCUGAAACUGUUCACCGUGUUAUCAAACACUACAAUAAGCUGAACCAAAGGAUGCCACUGAUACUUGUGAAGCUUUAUACAUAUCAGGUAGUGUACUCUUUUUUUGUGAGUUGUCAUUUAUAUGGAUCCUCCUUGUGGGGAACGCCGAAUAUGAGAUCUCUGCAAAUUCCGUUGUACAAGAGAUUGUUUUUCCUUUUGU
RNAcentral lists this long non-coding RNA (489 nucleotides) under Nicotiana benthamiana. RNAcentral describes it as "long non-coding RNA (NBEN_LNC027145)". The record is from RNAcentral. Lineage: Eukaryota; Viridiplantae; Streptophyta; Magnoliopsida; Solanales; Solanaceae.